AGGAAAAGAAACUAACAAGGAUUCCCUCAGUAACGGCGAGUGAAGCGGGAAGAGCUCAAGGCGUUAAUCUCCUUGGCCUAUGGCCUUGGCGAAUUGUAGCCUAGGGAUGCGUAUACUGUGAUCACUAGCACAUUAAGUCCUUUGGAAUAGGGCGCCAGAGAGGGUGAUAGCCCCGUCUAUGUGUUGGUCAGGUUGCUCUAUGUUGCGCACUCCGAGAGUCGGGUUGUUUGGGAAUGCAGCCCUAAUAGGGAGGUAAGCACCUUCCAAAGCUAAAUAUUCAGGCAAGAGACCGAUAGCGAACAAGUACCGUGAGGGAAAGUUGAAAAGAACUCUGGAGAGAGAGUGAAAAGUACGUGAAACCAUUAGUAGGGAACCGCUUGCACGGUACACUGAGUAGUUUGAGAUGGAGACAUUUCUUAUUACCGUCCAACACCAGUUUUACUUGCUGGAAAAAGAUGGAGAGAAGGUGGCGACUGUAGUCUUCGUGUCUGCAGUCGUGUUAUAGCUCUUUAUCAGAUACAGUGGGUAAGACUGAGGACUGCGGUACCUUUCCUUCGGGAAGGCGCAACCAGGCAUUCAAAGGGCCUUGCAAUCCAGUUUCGUAGACAGCAUGCUGACUGCGAGAUUCUAUUUGUAAGCACCCUGGUGUCUUUGUGAAGUACCAAGGGUAGUUGGGAAGUGCU
RNAcentral lists this ribosomal RNA (683 nucleotides) under Pinnaticoemansia coronantispora. RNAcentral's name for it is "eukaryotic LSU rRNA". It matches the Rfam family "Eukaryotic large subunit ribosomal RNA", at positions 54 to 634 of the family's 3401-position model. Lineage: Eukaryota; Fungi; Kickxellomycota; Kickxellomycetes; Kickxellales; Kickxellaceae. The record is from RNAcentral.